Long non-coding RNA from Vespa mandarinia (Asian giant hornet), 666 nucleotides. Lineage: Eukaryota; Metazoa; Arthropoda; Insecta; Hymenoptera; Vespidae. The record is from RefSeq and is a predicted model, not a curated record.
AGUCGUCGCGGACAGUAACUAGUCGCUAGGGUGACGCGGACCUAGAUUUAUUCCGAGCCUCGAGUUAACUAUUCCUUUUUUUCCGGAAUAUUAUAGAGACGAAUAUUUCGAUCUUAUAUUUUUCUUCAUUCUUUUUUCGUUUAUUUAUUUUCUCUAUCUAUGAAAUUUUAUGCAACUAAAUAACAUCGUGGAUAUUGAACACUCGAAACUCGUCGUUAAGAGUGUUAAUUGCUUCUACUCUGUUUCUCAUUAUCACGAACAUUUCGUGUUAUUGGCAUCGUUAUUGGUGUCUUAUGAAAUUCAUUUAAAGUUGAAAAUAAAUAAAUCAUUUGUAAGUAAAUAAUUAAGUAAGUAAAUAAUUAAAUAAUUUAUGCAACGGCGAAGAUCAAUUUCAUUGGAUAUAACUUAUCGGCCAAUAACCGAGCGGUUCCUUCGGAUCAUUUGUCCAACGAACUUUCAAAGAAAAGAAAAAUAUAUAUAUAUAUAAAUAUAUCUACAAAAACUUAACUCACCUAAAACUAUUUCGCCGGUAUGAAGAAAUUCAUCAAAUUCUUCAAAUGUUAAUUUGCAUGAAACGCACUGAACAAUAUCAAUGACACGAUAUCGUAUAAAACAAGUGAAAAUAUACGAAAAGAAUGAUAGAGAAAGAGAAAAAGAAAAGAUAAA